This 468-nucleotide ribosomal RNA is filed under the name uncultured bacterium. RNAcentral's name for it is "partial 16S ribosomal RNA". It matches the Rfam family "Bacterial small subunit ribosomal RNA", at positions 28 to 507 of the family's 1533-position model. The record is from RNAcentral.
GACGAACGCUGGCGGCGUGCUUAACACAUGCAAGUCGAACGGAAAGGCCCUGCUUUUGUGGGUUUCUCGAUUGGCGAACGGGUGAGUAACACGUGUGUAACCUGCCCUUGACUUUGGGAUAACUUCAGGGAACUGGGGCUCAUACCGGAUAGGAUCUCCUGCUGCAUGGUGGGGGUUGGAAAGUUUCGGCGGUUGGGGAUGGACUCGCGGCUUAUCAGCUUGUUGGUGAGGUAGUGGCUUACCAAGGCUUUGACGGGUAGCCGGCCUGAGAGGGUUACCGGCGACCAUGGGACUGAGAUACGGCGCAGAAUCCAACGGGCGGCAGCAGUGGGGAAUAUUGCAGAAUGGGCCGAAGCCUGAUGCAGCAACGCCGCGUGCGGGAUGCUGGGCUUCGGGUUGUAAACAGCUUUGGACGGUGCCGAAGAGUGAGUGACGGUAAUGGGUCAAGAAGCACCGGCUAACUACGUG